GGGGAAUAUUGCACAAUGGGCGAAAGCCUGAUGCAGCAACGCCGCGUGAGUGAUGAAGGUCUUCGGAUUGUAAAGCUCUGUCUUCUGGGACGAUAAUGACGGUACCAGAGGAGGAAGCCACGGCUAACUACGUGCCAGCAGCCGCGGUAAUACGUAGGUGGCAAGCGUUGUCCGGAUUUACUGGGCGUAAAGGAUGUGUAGGCGGAUAUUUAAGUGAGAUGUGAAAUCCCCGGGCUUAACUUGGGGGCUGCAUUUCAAACUGGAUGUCUAGAGUGCAGGAGAGGAAAGCAGAAUUCCUAGUGUAGCGGUGAAAUGCGUAGAGAUUAGGAAGAAUACCAGUGGCGAAGGCGGCUUUCUGGACUGUAACUGACGCUGAGGCGCGAAAGCGUGGGGAGCAAAC
Molecule: ribosomal RNA, 400 nt
Filed under: uncultured bacterium
Lineage: Bacteria
Description: bacterial SSU rRNA
Rfam family: Bacterial small subunit ribosomal RNA
Source: RNAcentral